GCAAUCUUCAAUUUUUUUUUCAUUUUAAAUAUUACAGGAUGACAAAGGCUAAAGGACUUUCAAAAGUCUGAUGUCAACCAGUGGGGAUCUGAACUGCACUUGGGUGGAACUUGGUCUUUGUGACUCACUGAAAAGGAAGCAACUGCUCUUUCUCAUUGCCACAGAGAGAACUGAAUCUUCACAGCUAAGAUUGGAAACACAUCCCUCUCUCUGGGGCUCUUCUUCAGACCCAAGAAUCUUGUAAGGCAAGUCCUUGUGGCCCAAUCCUGAACAUUCAGAACUUCCUCUGAAAUCAACGGGACUUUUGAAUUGCCAAGGAAUAUGGGUCUGGAUCCUUAUUU
Molecule: long non-coding RNA, 341 nt
Filed under: Chrysemys picta bellii (western painted turtle)
Lineage: Eukaryota; Metazoa; Chordata; Testudines; Emydidae
Description: lncRNA (ENSCPBG00000024006.1)
Source: RNAcentral